Long non-coding RNA from Gavialis gangeticus (Gharial), 1332 nucleotides. RefSeq lists it as uncharacterized. Lineage: Eukaryota; Metazoa; Chordata; Crocodylia; Gavialidae. The transcript has 2 exons. The record is from RefSeq and is a predicted model, not a curated record.
GUCCAAAGAGCAAAUCAAGCACUAGAUGAAAGAAACCAUAAGAUACAGCAACAGUACAUACAUCUUAGGCAACAGAUGUCAUGGGAUGGGUAAAUGGUCUGUGAAGCACAGCAUUUCAUAACAAUAUAUCUAGCUCUUACAUAGCGCUUUCCAGUAGAUCUCUAAUCACGUCAAGGAUAAAAUUACUGGCCUCUCCUCCAUUUUACAGACCACUGAACAGACACUGGGAGGACAGUAACUUGCUUCAAUGUCACUCAGAGCACAAGCAAGCUCAAGAGAGAAUCCAAGGCUCAUUAGUCCCAUAGUGCUGUUUUCACUAAGCCAAAUUAUUCUCGUUUCUCCCCUUGCAAGAAGAGCACCAGUUGCAGAUGCCUGAAUUAGCAAUUAUAGAACAGAUGCAAUUUAAAACGGGUCUUGUGUUUAAGUCCGGUCACUACCAUGCGUGGUACAAACCAGAUACAGCAAUGAAAGGAAGAUAUGGAAGUUAUAACAGUAAAAGUUGCAAAACUAAAAAUUCACCUCAUUUUUUCUUAUGCUGUGUGGUUCAGCAAUCAUAUAUCCAUAAGAGGGGGGUAUAAAAUAUACUCUGAAGUGCAGUCUAAUCAGGAGUAGAAGCAGGAUGCACCAGUCAGUAUACAUCCUUGCAGGAUUUUUGCUGUUAACUCCUGUUACUAUACAAAGUAACAUCCAGGCUCUGUGUAAGUUCUACUUUUCCCCCCACAUUAUCAAUUUUCCAACUAAUCCCUCCCCUUCCCUCCUCAUUCAGGCCCCCUAUCUCCUACCUUGAUAACUGUAGGCCACUUUUCCUGCGCCAUUUAUCCUGCCAAAAUCCAUAUCCCACCCCAACCUGUUCAAAACACAGCUAAGGAGACCUUCCUGGUCAUUUACCUGAAUCAUGUAAAUCCAACUCCUCUCAAAAUGCUUCCAUCGCAUCAAAUUCAAGCUUUGCAUUCUGUUUUCCAAGAACCCUCACAGCUUUGCACCUCCUUUGGGUGUAUACUGACACAGAAGUAGUACAGGGAUUUUACUUUGCAGUAUACUGACUCCAUAGUAAGGAGUGGACACAGGAACAGCUCUCCAAGUUGGUUACCUGCAGCAGGGGCUAUUACAGUGCCUGGCCAGGGAAGUUGGUUUGCGCUGAGCAAAUCAGUGACACAGUUUUCAUGGCUUGUGCACUGUAGUAAAGUGAAGUUACACAGCAUCAUGCAUAUUACAUGUACAUCCCUUGGGUGUGUCCAUCACCUCAGUCUUUGUUUCUUUAUCUCAAUAUGCUCCUUAUGCAGACCACACACCUGAACUAAUCUUAAACAUGCCCACCCUCUUCAAAUCCCA